AUCGCUUCUCGGCCUUUUGGCUAAGAUCAAAGUGUAGUAUCUGUUCUUAUCAGCUUAAUCUCUGGUACGGUCUCCAUAGGGGACCCAGAAGAUUAAACUGAUUUUUGGAAAAUGACGGAGUGCUAGGGACUUGCUCCACCUCUGUCGCGGGUUGACCCGGUAUUGCAGUACCUCCGGGGAUGGCCCAUCUUAA
Molecule: small nuclear RNA, 193 nt
Filed under: Rhodnius prolixus
Lineage: Eukaryota; Metazoa; Arthropoda; Insecta; Hemiptera; Reduviidae
Description: U2 spliceosomal RNA
Rfam family: U2 spliceosomal RNA
About the family: U2 is a small nuclear RNA (snRNA) component of the spliceosome (involved in pre-mRNA splicing).
Source: Rfam by way of RNAcentral